RNAcentral lists this ribosomal RNA (301 nucleotides) under uncultured bacterium. RNAcentral's name for it is "partial 16S ribosomal RNA". It matches the Rfam family "Bacterial small subunit ribosomal RNA", at positions 509 to 807 of the family's 1533-position model. The record is from RNAcentral.
CAGUCGCCGCGGUAAUACGAAGGGUGCAAGCGUUAAUCGGAAUUACUGGGCGUAAAGCGUGCGUAGGCGGUGAGUUAAGACUGCUGUGAAAUCCCCGGGCUCAACCUGGGAAUGGCAGUGGAUACUGGCUCGCUAGAGUGUGUCAGAGGAUGGUGGAAUUCCCGGUGUAGCGGUGAAAUGCGUUGAGAUCGGAAGGAACGCCCGUGGCGAAAGCGAGGCCCUGGACCCUUACCGACGCUGAGACGCGAAAGCCAGGGGAGCGAACGGGAUUAGAUACCCCAGUAGUCCCUGUCUCUUAUAC